This 274-nucleotide ribosomal RNA is filed under the name uncultured bacterium. RNAcentral's name for it is "partial 16S ribosomal RNA". It matches the Rfam family "Bacterial small subunit ribosomal RNA", at positions 523 to 796 of the family's 1533-position model. The record is from RNAcentral.
AUACGGAGGGUGCAAGCGUUGUUCGGAAUUACUGGGCGUAAAGAGCUUGUAGGCGGCCUGUUAAGUCUGAUGUGAAAGCCCUCGGCUCAACCGAGGAAGUGCAUUGGAUACUGGCAGGCUUGAGUAUGGGAGAGGAGAGCGGAAUUCCCGGUGUAGAGGUGAAAUUCGUAGAUAUCGGGAGGAACACCAGUGGCGAAGGCGGCUCUCUGGACCAAUACUGACGCUGAGAAGCGAAAGCGUGGGGAGCAAACAGGAUUAGAAACCCCGGUAGUCC